This 316-nucleotide long non-coding RNA is filed under the name Equus caballus (horse). Its description in RNAcentral is "lncRNA (ENSECAG00000057938.1)". Lineage: Eukaryota; Metazoa; Chordata; Mammalia; Perissodactyla; Equidae. The record is from RNAcentral.
GCCGGAGUACAAGAGAAUUAACCCCUCCUGAGAACAGCCCUUAAACGGUGACUGAUGGAUGCUGGUGGAUAAGUACUCCAGGAAUCUCAUCUCUCAGAUCCUUGCUCCAGGGAAAGCUAGCUGCCAUAUUGUGAGGACUCUCAAGCAGCUUUCUGGUGAAGUCCAUGUGGUGAGGAAUGGAAGCCUUCUUCCAACAGCCAGCAAAAUCCUGAGGCCUCUAGCCAACAGCUAUGUGAGUGAGCCACCUUGGAAGCAGACCCUUAAGCCCCAGGAACCAAGGCAGAAAAAUGCCAGGUGGCCAAAUGGCAGAACCAGU